This 264-nucleotide ribosomal RNA is filed under the name uncultured bacterium. RNAcentral's name for it is "partial 16S ribosomal RNA". It matches the Rfam family "Bacterial small subunit ribosomal RNA", at positions 90 to 354 of the family's 1533-position model. The record is from RNAcentral.
ACUGAGUGGCGGACGGGUGAGUAACGCGUGGGCAACCUGCCCCAUACAGGGGGAUAACAGCCGGAAACGGCUGCUAAAACCGCAUAAGCGCACAAGGGCCGCAUGGCCUGGUGUGAAAAACUCCGGUGGUAUGGGAUGGGCCCGCGUCUGAUUAGCUAGUUGGCGGGGAGAGGCCCACCAAGGCGACGAUCAGUAGCCGACCUGAGAGGGUGGCCGGCCACAUUGGGACUGAGACACGGCCCAAACUCCUACGGGAGGCAGCAG